Molecule: ribosomal RNA, 424 nt
Filed under: uncultured bacterium
Lineage: Bacteria
Description: partial 16S ribosomal RNA
Rfam family: Bacterial small subunit ribosomal RNA
Source: RNAcentral
AAUUUUGGACAAUGGGCGCAAGCCUGAUCCAGCCAUGCCGCGUGAGUAAGGAGGGCCUCGGGGUGGUAAGGCCCUUCGGGCCGGAAGGAAAUGCCGCAGCUAAAUACCUUGCCGGGAUGACGGUACCGCCAAAAACAGCCCCGGCUACCUACUUGCAGGCGGCCGCGGUAAUACGUAGGGUGCGAGCGUUAACCGGAAUUACUGGGCGUAAAGCGUGCGCAGGCGGUUGAUUAAGACAGGCGUGAAAUCCCCGGGCUUAACCUGGGAACUGCGCUUGUGACUGGUCAGCUAGAGUACGGCAGAGGGGGGUGGAAUUCCACGUGUAGCAGUGAAAUGCGUAGAGAUGUGGAGGAACACCGAUGGCGAAGGCAGCCCCCUGGGCCGAUACUGACGCUCAUGCACGAAAGCGUGGGUAGCAAACAGG